UCCGGUGGCAAUACCGGAGGGGCCACACCCGUUCCCAUUCCGAACACGGAAGUUAAGCCCUCCUGGGCCGAUGAUACUGCACCCGCGAGGGUGUGGGAAAGUAGGACGCUGCCGGAU
RNAcentral lists this ribosomal RNA (117 nucleotides) under Nitrospirota bacterium. The record is from RNAcentral. Lineage: Bacteria; Pseudomonadati; Nitrospirota.